CAGACGAUCUUUUUGGUUCGCUGCUGGAGUAGAGAUGACCGCCGAGGGGUAGACGAGCAGAGUUUUCACAUUUUACAUACUGACGAGACUUCCAUAACAAACUCUUCACUUUAUAAACUGCUGAGGCAUCAUUUUCUUCUAUUGUCUACAAGGCCUUGGGCCUCAUUGGUCUGAUAGCAAUGGUACUUAUUCUGGGCAGAAGACUGAACCGGGAGGACUCUGGAGUCCGUGAGUCCCCAGCAGUCAAGCGAAAGGUUCUGGAGAUGGACAACAAGUCACUCAGUAAUCAUGAAGUGUUUGAUUUCUCCUCCGGCCCCUGCCACUCCGAGAGCAUUCUGCAGAUGUUUAAUGAGUUCCGUGACGGCCGAUUGUUCACGGACGUGGUGAUCAGUGUGGAGGGUCGUGAGUUCCCGUGUCACCGUGCCGUGUUGUCAGCUUGCAGUAGCUACUUCCGUGCAAUGUUCUGCAAUGACCACCGGGAGAGCCGUGAGAUGUUGGUGGAGAUCAACGGCAUCCGUGCUGAAGCCAUGGACACCUUCCUUCAGUACGUCUACACCGGACGUGCCCGCAUCACUACAGAUAAUGUGCAGUUCCUCUUCGAGACCUCCAGCCUCUUCCAGAUCAGCACUCUGCGUGAUGCUUGUGCCAAAUUCUUGGAAGACCAACUUGACCCCUGCAACUGCCUGGGCAUCCAGCGUUUCGCCGACACGCACUCCCUCAAGCAACUGGCCAGUCGCUGCCGCUCUUAUGCACUACAGAGCUUUACCGAUGUGGCCCAGCAUGAAGAAUUCUUGGACUUGCGUAAGGAGGAACUGGAGGAGUACAUCGCUAGUGACGAGCUAGUCAUUGGAAAGGAGGAGACCGUGUUUGAGGCAGUGAUGCGUUGGGUUUACUACGAUGUGGACCACCGUCGAAUCAUGCUUAGAGACCUUCUCAACCACGUCCGACUGCCCCUGCUGCAUCCAAAUUAUUUCGUGCAGACGGUAGAAGGUGACCAGUUGAUCCAAAAUGCACCAGAGUGCUAUCAGCUCCUGCACGAAGCCAGGCGCUAUCAUGUCUUGGGCAAUGAAAUGAUGUCACCUAGAACCCGUCCACGCAGGUCUACUGGAUUCUCAGAAGUCAUUGUGGUAGUCGGAGGGUGCGAGAGGAUGGGGGGUUUCAACUUGCCGUAUACUGAAUGCUAUGAUCCGGUAACUGGGGAAUGGAAAUCCUUAGCCAAACUCCCAGAGUUCACCAAGUCAGAGUAUGCUGUGUGUGCCCUCAGGAACGACAUUCUGGUCUCAGGUGGUAGAAUCAACAGCAGGGAUGUCUGGAUGUACAACUCCCAGCUCAACAUCUGGAUCAGGGUUGCCUCCUUGAACAAGGGCCGCUGGAGACACAAAAUGGCAGUUUUGUUGGGAAAGGUGUAUGCCGUUGGUGGAUAUGACGGUCAAUCACGACUAAGCAGCGUCGAAUGCUACGACUCUUUCUCAAACCGCUGGACAGAGGUGGCAUCCAUGAAGGAGGCUGUCAGCUCACCAGCCGUCUCCAGUUGUGUCAACAAACUAUUUGUGAUUGGAGGAGGACCUGACGAUAACACAUGCUCAGAUAAGGUUCAGUGCUAUGACCCAGAGUCUGACUCCUGGUUGCUAAGGGCCAACAUCCCCAUCGCUAAGCGCUGCAUCACGGCCGUAUCACUGAACAAUCUCAUCUAUGUUUCUGGAGGCCUGACCAAAUCCAUUUACUGUUAUGACCCCACUGAAGAUUACUGGAUGCAUGUGGUCCACACAUUCAGCAGACAGGAAAGUUGUGGUAUGUCGGUAUGUAACGGAAAGAUCUAUAUCCUGGGUGGCCGUGGUGAAAAUGGAGAGGCAUCAGAUACAAUCCUGUGCUAUGACCCGUCCACCGGCAUCAUAACGGGCGUGGCCGCCAUGCCCCGCCCUAUUUCUUACCACGGCUGCGUCACCAUCCACCGCUACAAUGAGAAGUUCUACCAUUCAUGACAUUAAAAAAAAGCACACUCACUGACUCACACAGGGACGUGGAUAAACUGAGCCGGACUAUAGAUAACGUAGCAUUAUGUUAGGUAAGGUGAGUCCAGUUCACAAGCUUUGAGACCAGUCAGUUAAACUGACAACUACAUAAUAACUCAUUUCAGUGUACAGUAUAAACAUUCUAUCAUUUACUCAUCCUCACGUCGUUCCAAACCCAUAUGACCUUUCUUCUAAAGAAAACAAAAGAAGAUAUUUUAGACAAAAUCAAAUUAGACCCCAACUUCAUUGUAACAUUUUUUUUCUUAUAUCUUCUUCCGGCCUUUAUAGUCCGAUACAGAUUGUGUAUGGAUUUGCAUAUUUCCAUAUCCGUUACCCAAAUACUUCUAAACUGAUUGACAGCUGAUUGUGAAUUCUAGCUGGUCUCUGAUCUCUCAACCUCACUUGUUGUUCCCGUCAAUUAAACGUCUUUAUUUGUUUCUUUUCCCCACUUCAUUACUAUUAUUGCAUUUUAUAUUGUAUUUUAAUGUCUGGUGUAAGUUGUUUUGAGUGGGUUAACGGCGUGAUUAUUUGUGUCUGGUGGAUAGAGUGUUCGAUUGUGAUAAAUCCAUGUGUAUAUAAGUGUGUUUGAAAAGAUUCAGCUGGAUGUGUGUGCGUGACAGACGGACACAGAAUAUGCAGGAACUACUUCUUGUUGAGCUCCCAUGUCUAAUGGGUAAAUGGUUCACAACAAUCCAUCAGGCACCGAAAAUUAUUGUAUUUCUUUUAAUAUUUCUUUACGUAUGCAUGUAUGUAUUUGGGUGAUAUUAACUGUUUUCUGUAUUUUGUAGUAGAAAUUGUGGCUAUCAUGACAUUUAAAGAAAAAAACGUGUGUUUUAUUAUGUGUUUGCUCUUUUAUAGUAAUGCCAUCCAUAUGAAGCAUUACUGUUGAUUAGCCUCUGUAUAAUUAUUCUGUAUCAUUUAGUAACAUGCUUUCUUGCAUAUCAUGUAGAAUACAAGCAAAGAUGUCUUGUUUAUAAGUGAAUCAAAUAAUGUUCUUUCACUUUAAGUUAUUUAUUCUUUAUGGAUGUUUGAAUGCCCCAACCAGGCACUUAAGUCAAUAUAUCGCAGUGUCCCCGAUGUAAAUAUGAAUUUGAUAAUCCUUCUUCAGGUUUACUGUAUCAGUAAGUGUUUGCAGUGGUGAAGCAUCAGGCCAAAUGGCCAGUUCACACUCUCAGCUCCCAUAAAACUCUUCCUUUUUUGUUCUCACAAUAAUCUAAGCUUAGUAUUUGUGUGUACACUGCAGUGACGUAGCAGCAAAAGAUUGUGUGUUUGUGCUCUGGGGAGCAGUGAUGUCAGCUCUGUUGCCUGCUUUUGGUGAGCAGGAUUGUUUAGUUUUGUCAGCUGCAAGACCAGAACAAUAGAGGACACACAUUGUUCGUUUUACUCUGGGAAUUGUACAAUGCAACUGCAAGACCCUGCACAUAUAUGCACAUAACGCAGCAUGGCCUUUCUAUAACCUUUUUGAGUGUAGUUUUUUUUGGUGUGUAGUUUUAUGACCGUGUGUUUGUGUAAAUAAAUGGUGUGAGUUUGGUGUCUUUUUGUUAUAUAGGCUUGUUUUUUUCUGAUAACUUUCAGUUGCUAAAAGCCAUAAACGGAAUGUUUUUUUUUUUGUUUAAUUUUACAAUGUUUCUUUUUGAGCGAGUCCUUAUACACUUUAUCUGUGCAUGGCAAAAACUAUAUAACUCGUAUGGCAAGAAAAAUAAAUGAUUGUUAUGGAGAAGAUGCGCCUUUAGCGCUAAUUAGUGAUGGCAGAGAAAAGUGCCAAUUUAAGAAAAUAUUACUUAAGUGCAUUAAAAGAAAUGACUAUUUUGUGCCUUGUGGUGGAAUGAUACACAUUUGACAACUAGCCAAAGAUGUGUGAUUGUUUUUUUCUGUUAAUUCCAGUACAAUAUUGUAAAAGAAACUGCCAACCUUUUAUGUCAUAAUAUUACAUGUGUUAAACUGUCGCUAAAAUGUUCUUGUUCUGAGUACCUGAAAUGUACAAGAGCUUAAUGUGGUGUACAUGCAUACAUUUCUUCAAUAAAGCUAU
Sinocyclocheilus anshuiensis is the source of this 4041-nucleotide RNA transcript. It is a transcript of the gene named kelch-like protein 24, with no coding region annotated. NCBI's taxonomy places the organism in Eukaryota, Metazoa, Chordata, Actinopteri, Cypriniformes, Cyprinidae. The transcript is spliced from 8 exons. The record is from RefSeq and is a predicted model, not a curated record.